Long non-coding RNA from Mastomys coucha (southern multimammate mouse), 4729 nucleotides. RefSeq lists it as uncharacterized. NCBI's taxonomy places the organism in Eukaryota, Metazoa, Chordata, Mammalia, Rodentia, Muridae. The transcript is spliced from 3 exons. The record is from RefSeq and is a predicted model, not a curated record.
UCCAAGACUUUGUGCGGCUAUGUUCAAUAGAUGGCUGGGCCUCUAGAUGCUCGGAGGGUCUGUAGUUACCGCCUUGUCUGACAGAGGUAACCCAGCCUCUGGCUGGCCCCUGUUCCAGAGCCGGAGGGCUGGAUUCUCCUUGGUCUUCACACUCCAGCUCUGUACAACUCUCUCCAGCUAAGUCUACCUCAGGGCUCCCAGACGCCUCAUCCAGCUCCUCUUCAGACAGGUCUAGAUGUUGGUUGUGCCUGGAGAGCCAGGGCAGAGGCACGGUGGAACCUUCUGGGCUGCUAACAUCGUCAGCUUCAGUCUCUGGAAAGACAGGUCAUUCACUGCUGAGCCCGUGCUGGGUCUAUAAUGCCACCUGAAUCACUUCAUGACCUAAUGAUGCUGAGGAUGGCAAGAACCUAGAGCCACCCACACAUAAUCAGCCCACCGCAGAGCAGCCUGCCCCAUCACAGAGGCCCCUGCGUGCAAAAAGAGGAACGGCCAGUUUUCUGCAGUGACUCAGCCGCAAAAAUCUCACUGUUCUCCAGAGAGCCCACACAUCACAGGCAGCAACAGUCUGAGGCUACAGUUUUGCACCCAUUUCUCAAGUGCCUCAACUUGUGAGCUUUUCCUGAGAAAGACCUUAUUCUUCUGUGCCGACCACGGCCCUUGGUGCCAUGGAGCCUGGAACUGGACAGACAGGUAGUCAAUCAGCAAACACACAUCCAUGUCAAACGUGUACCAACCUCAGGCAGAGAUGAAGUUGCAAUAGAGUAGAGGCUGAGCACCAGGCAAGCAGACCCCAGCCCUGAGGCUCCAGCCACUCGAGGCAGUGGCUGGCUGGCUGCUCCUCUCUGUAUAGGGGAACAGUGGUCACCUAGGCCUGCUCCUGCUGCACCCAUCCCUCUGUCUGGUGAGCACCCUGGCCCUCAGAGAGGCACCAAAUGAACUUGGAGGCUCUCAGCCCCUAGGAUACAGAAAAACUCCCUUGCCAAGAUCCCACCCUCCGUGGAGGACGAAAUCCAGAAAAGCUGCUGAAGAAGGAAGUUUGGUGACGGCUUUAACAGACCAAGCAAAUCUAGGGGAGAAAGAGGAAGGGGAAUCGGGACAAGGAACGGCACAGACAAAGGCACAGAGGUCUGAAAACACAAGCUGAACUUCAAGGAGGGCUCAGGGCCUAGCCCCUGAGUGCCACAGACAGCCAGGGAGGUCCGGACAGCUGUCAGGGCAGCAGUGGAUGCUCGGGAUACGAACUAUGAUGUCCUGACCCAGGAGGGUCAGCCCCUCUAUAACUAAGUCCUGCGAAUGGUUCGGCCAUUGGGCUAAGGGUCCCCACCUGCCCCCAGAGAAACUGUACCCCACCCCCAAAACACCAAACACUUCUUUUUCUAUGCCCUUGUUUCUUACCACCUAACACCUGUACAGAUCUGAUCUCCAUGUUGUAACACCCUCCAGGGAUUCUAUUUAGUUCCUGGCUAGGCAAUGCCCUGUUCCCCACUGCUUCUGCUUCACACAGCUCUCUGUCUCUCUCUCUCUCUGUCUCUCUGUCUCUCUGUCUCUCUGUCUCUCUGUCUCUCUCUCUCUCUCUGUGUGUGUGUGUGUGUGUGUGUGUGUGUGUGUAUGUGUGUGUGUGUGUGUGUGUGUGUGUGUGUGGUGAGAGAAGGAUGUUCCUGUCUUGGGCCAUUACAAAGUCUAAGGGCCCUUUACACCACUCAACACACUAUGCUCCAGAAUGAUCCUCGUCCACUGAAGCUGCCUUGGCAUUCAAAAGCUCCAUGCUAUCCAGCCAAGGAUAGCCAGGGCAUCCCCACUUUAACCUCAUUCCAACGAGGAAACAGAGGCAGGCACCUAAUGAGAACAGCCAGGAAGUUUAGAAGAACACCGUGGCUAUUAAACCAAGGUCAGGAGGUGUAUAGGAGGCAGGAGGAUGGCAGGGGAAAGACCUCCAUACAACGCUGCUGGACCCUUCUAAAGGGCUGGGCUGUGGGGCUCCAAAGCAAGUUUGGACCAGCGGCAGGGCACAGACCUGUUCACAAGAGUGGCCUUUGGCCUGCAUCGAGUAGAGAUACCCACUACGGAUGUCCCCAGACUGUCCCUGACUCACCCAAGUAUCCGGGGAGGAACUAAAAAGGGGCCAGGCUUUUACUGAUUCUCAUCUUGCCCUACUUUAGGUCUUAGCUGGCCUCCUGGUCCCCAGAAUGUUGACUUUGUCCCUGCCCUUACAUGGGUAGGAGGGUGUCAUCUCCUGGCCUGCUCCCCACUUCCGUACAUCUCUUGAGACCCUCAGCAACCCAAACACUAACUGGCCUUGAGAUGGAGCCCACCCUGGGCGCGGAGAGGGACCAAUACCCGUCCAAGUUCACCAAGGGAACCAAAUCAGAGCUGGAACUGGAAACUAGCAUCUUGAAGUCCACUCUGGCCUGGGGGCCGGACUCCCAGAACUGGACAGGAGUGGCAGCAGCUGCGUAGCUGCGAUUUCCUGGCUGGGCUGGGCUGACUGCCAGGGUUGUCCAGAGUCUAUGACUGGCCCAUCCAGAGGGAAGGCGGCCUUCCCUCUGGCCCUCCUCCUGCCUCAGCUCCUUACCUCACUUGGUCUACACCACCAUCCAGCCGGCCUGGGCUCAGGGGAGCUGCCCACAAGGUCUUUGUUUCAAACCCAGGGAGCCCCCUGCCUACACAGCACCCUGGACCGCCUCCAGACUGCUCUGCCAGCCAGAACCGCCUCAGCUCACAGACAAGCAUCGCUCCCCACUUCUCCCCGCCCCUGCAGCUGAGGCCUGGCCUUGCCUCCUCCUCCUCCUCCUUGCAGGAAGCGCCCAGCCUGAUUUCCUACAAGUGUUUGUGAAAAGGGGAGGGGGGGGGCGAUUUACUGUGCAGAGCUGGCGCCAAGAGCUUAACCCUUUGCUGGGCAAGUGUGGGGCUGCAUUGAUGGGAAGAGCUCACAGAAACUUCUGAGGCCUUGAGUUUGGGACCACCUCAGCCGCAGCCCUGCUUGUACCAGCAGGAAGUCCAGAGAAGGCUUGGCUAGUCAUAUUGCAUGCUGGGCCCAGGGAGAGGACCCUGCAGUUCCUCCACUCCCCACUCCAAAAUUGGUCUCUUCCACCACCAAUGACUUUAUCAGAACCUCUCCUCCCACUUCGUAGGUCUCAUUGCCCAUCCUAGUUGGGGGGGGGGUAGGGGGCGGGGAAGAGUGGAGAGACACAGGACUCAGACUUGGUGCUCGCCCAUGCCCUUCCAGCUUUCACUCUGUCUACUAAUACAAAUCUCAUCAUCUCAGGGUGGAUUUGGGGAUUUCUGCCCUUCCACUUACUGUCCAUGCCUGGAGAUAAGAUGCGUCUGCAUUGGACUUGUCUAGAUAUCUUUCAGAAUCUUUCUGUUCUGGAGAAACACCCCACCCCACCACGGCCUCAAGGGAUCUCCUCAAACACAAGCUUUCAAACCAGCCAUCCACAGGCUUGCCACUUCGUCUGCUCUCCUGCUAGCACUAGGGCAGAGGCUGCAGCCUGGCCCUGUUCCAGCCUCCCUCACUCCCUCCUUGCCUGCUUCAGUACCCAACUCCCUGAUGUUCCCCAGGAGGGCUUCUCACCAAUGAUCACCUAUACUCCCUACUGACUCUGAGCUGCAUGCAGACCUGCUCCUGAACGACCUCCUUAGGACUUGCCAUCUGUCCUGAUGCUCACUUGUGGCCAGGGCUGGCCUCUCGACUCCUGGGAGGCGCUCUUGAAACUUUCACUACUAAAUCCCCUGUCCCCAGCGUGGGCUGACACAUGACAGAAACACAACCGAUGCAUUCAGGAUCGUCCACUGCAUCUGGCCAGCUGCCCAGGUAGGUAGUUGCCUGUAGCCCCCUAACACUUAUCAAGACUAGUGUGAGGAGCCCAUUUCACAGAUGAGUACACAAGGUCCCUAGAGCCCACACAACUUGCCCAAGGCCACAAAGCUGGUGAACCUGGUACAGACCCAGAUGCAUGAGGACCUGGCUCCUCCUGACCAAGACUAGUGUUCACCCCAUCCAGGCUGUAGAGAUCCUAAAGCCCGCGCACAGGGGAGCCUAGAGUGGAGCCUAAGGCCUAGGCUACAGUUCCUCCUUUGCAAAGGGAAGCCCUGCUCUCCCCUGUGGUUCUUCAUUGCUUCCUCAUCCUUUGCCUCAGACACAGUUACAAGUGUGUUUUCCCACGGCUCAGAGGAGGAAACUGAGGCACAGAAGGGAGAUAUUAGUUCUUGGCCACCCUGACAAGAAAACAAAAGUAAGACCCUGUACCCUGGCCACCAGAUGGUAUCUGGAGCACAGCUGAUUGCCCCAGUCUUGGGUCCAGAAACAUCGCUGGAUCUGCCCUCCCUUGAUUCUCCUGGAGGCCAGAGGUCCAGCGGAGAGCCACAAGCAGGCCAGUCAUCGUAGGAGAUCAGAGUGAGACACCAUAGGAGUGGGUCUAUCAUUUCAUCAUGACCCUUCUGAGUCCUGGCUCUCCUUUCCUGGGAAAAGUCACUCUCCCUUCCUGCCCAGGAGGCUCACCUUCCAGGACAAAGUUCAUAGUGCAUCUGGGCAGGGGCGGUGUCACAGAGGAAGGACCAAGGAGAGUCAUAGAAGCCGGGUCUGACUCCCAGGUCACCUGGGACCCGGGUGUUCCUCUCGAUGAGCUUUGGGUAUGUAGUAUCAAGAGAGGGUCACCAAAAGGCUGGACAGACAGCUCAGCAGUGCACUGGGACUUGGGUUCAGUUCCCAGUGUUUAUAUGAUGGUUC